Molecule: ribosomal RNA, 234 nt
Filed under: uncultured bacterium
Lineage: Bacteria
Description: partial 16S ribosomal RNA
Rfam family: Bacterial small subunit ribosomal RNA
Source: RNAcentral
CGGGGUGGAGUAACGCGUGGGCAACCUGCCUUGCACUGGGGGAGUAACAGCCAGAAAUGGCUGCUAAUACCGCAUAAGACCGAAGCGCCGCAUGGCGCGGCGGCCAAAGCCCCGGCGGUGCAAGAUGGGCCCGCGUCUGAUUAGGUAGUUGGCGGGGUAACGGCCCACCAAGCCGACGAUCAGUGGCCGACCUGAGAGGGUGACCGGCCACAUUGGGACUGAGACACGGCCCAG